GUGAAUCAUCGAAUUUUUGAACGCAUAUUGCACUUUCUGGUAUUCCGGAGAGUAUGCCUGUUUGAGGGCCAGUUAAUUAAAAAUCGGGGUGUUUGCCAGCUUUGGUGGUGACGUUGCGGAUUUGGGUCGUCUUUACCUUUCGGUUAAGUGACUUAAAAUUUGUGAAUGAUAUAUGAACGUAUUUAAAUUUAUUUGGUAUGUCUUUGUACUUUGGAAUGUUUAUUAGGUGUAGUCAUCCUUAUGACCCAAGUGU
RNAcentral lists this unclassified non-coding RNA (253 nucleotides) under Glomeraceae sp. RNAcentral's name for it is "partial contains 5.8S ribosomal RNA and internal transcribed spacer 2". The stretch from base 1 to 71 matches the Rfam family "5.8S ribosomal RNA", at positions 84 to 154 of the family's 154-position model. Lineage: Eukaryota; Fungi; Glomeromycota; Glomeromycetes; Glomerales; Glomeraceae. The record is from RNAcentral.